GACGAACGCUGGCGGCGUGCUUAACACAUGCAAGUCGAGCGGUAAGGCCCUUUCGGGGGUACACGAGCGGCGAACGGGUGAGUAACACGUGGGUGACCUGCCCUCAGCUCUGGGAUAAGCCUGGGAAACUGGGUCUAAUACUGGAUAUGACUCCACGGUGCAUGUCGUGGGGUGGAAAGCCUUGUGCGGCUGAGGAUGGGCCCGCGGCCUGUCAGCUUGUUGGGGGGUGAUGGCCUACCAAGGCGACGACGGGUAGCCGGCCUGAGAGGGCGACCGGCCACACUGGGACUGAGACACGGCCCAGACUCCUACGGGAGGCAGCAGUGGGGAAUCUUGCGCAAUGGGCGAAAGCCUGACGCAGCGACGCCGCGUGA
RNAcentral lists this ribosomal RNA (374 nucleotides) under uncultured bacterium. Its description in RNAcentral is "bacterial SSU rRNA". It matches the Rfam family "Bacterial small subunit ribosomal RNA", at positions 28 to 404 of the family's 1533-position model. The record is from RNAcentral.